This 1033-nucleotide long non-coding RNA is filed under the name Cicer arietinum (chickpea). Its description in RNAcentral is "long non-coding RNA (CARI_LNC001767)". The record is from RNAcentral. Lineage: Eukaryota; Viridiplantae; Streptophyta; Magnoliopsida; Fabales; Fabaceae.
UUUGUUUGAAUAUUGGCCUUGAUAAUCUUGCUAAAGUGGUGGAACUUUUGGGGAGAGACCUAUGAAUUAUUAUUAUUCCACUAAUAAUGUGGAACAUUUGAUGCGCUAGAAACAAAAUUGUUUUAAACAACAACAUACUACAUCAACAUCGACAAUAGCCGCAGCUCUAACACAACUUCAGUUUGCACUUCAAGCGUUUGACUUAGAGAAUUUCCUUUAUGUCUUUCGUCCCACUCGAGAAGUACAUUGACAACAUGGUGAUGAGGAUACAAUGCCAUCAAUGUGGAUGGUAAUGCUCUUGCUAAUUCAAGUAAAGAUGGUAAUGCUCUUAGAAUGCUCUCUAAUUACAGUUUUGUCUGAUUUUUCAUAUAAAAAAAGAAAGGUUAUACAGUAGAAGUGUUGUUUAUACAAAAUUACGAUUAAAGAAAAACUUAGUUAUUAAGUGAUCUUAUAUGACUCACUUUUCUUUUCUAGAAACCGUACUUAGUGCACAUUUAAACACAUUUAAAGUACGUCAAGUUUUACUAAGAAGUUUAUGAUAGAGAAAUUUGAUGGGAAAAACAAUUUCGACUUGAGUAAAUUUCAAGAGAAAAAUGUGCUGAUACAAUUAUGAAUAUACAAAGUGUUUAUUAGCUCACUAACAUUGGUUGACAUUAAUGUAAGGUGCGCUGUAAAAUUAUGUUGAUUGUUGAAUAACUUCUUGAGAAAGUCAAUAUAGAGGUUGCACCAUAUUUUUCUGCAUGAUUUUUGUCACGUAGACUAAAUUCUUGGAGUGAUUUAGCUUAAAGUAAAAAUUCUUGGAGUAGUUUAGCUUCAAAUGAAAAUUAUUAGAGUAAUUUAACUUCAACUGAAGUAUACUUUUUAUGUGAAAUAUGAUAACUCUUUUGAACUAUGAUUGUCGGUGCAGACAAUAAAAGUUGAAGAUGUAUCGAUUUGAAUCAAGGUGGAGAUUGUUAUGUUUAGAUGAAAUUGAGGGUUUGAAAAAAUCUGACAUUGACUGAAAUAGAAAAUGAAGAGGAAGCUAAUGCGUGUG